GUCGUCAGCUCGUGUCGUGAGAUGUUGGGUUAAGUCCCGUAACGAGCGCAACCCUUAUUGUCAGUUGCCAGCAUUCAGUUGGGCACUCUGGCGAGGCUGCCGGUGACAAACCGGAGGAAGGUGGGGAUGACGUCAAGUCAUCAUGCCCCUUAUGACCUGGGCUACACACGUGCUACAAUGGUCGGUACAACGUGUUGCGAACUCGCGAGGGCAAGCAAAUCACUUAAAACCGAUCUCAGUUCGGAUUGCAGGCUGCAACUCGCCUGCAUGAAGCUGGAAUCGCUAGUAAUCGCGGAUCAGCAUGCCGCGGUGAAUACGUUCCCGGGA
RNAcentral lists this ribosomal RNA (327 nucleotides) under uncultured Lactobacillus sp. RNAcentral's name for it is "bacterial SSU rRNA". It matches the Rfam family "Bacterial small subunit ribosomal RNA", at positions 1051 to 1378 of the family's 1533-position model. Lineage: Bacteria; Bacillati; Bacillota; Bacilli; Lactobacillales; Lactobacillaceae. The record is from RNAcentral.